RNAcentral lists this ribosomal RNA (230 nucleotides) under uncultured bacterium. RNAcentral's name for it is "partial 16S ribosomal RNA". It matches the Rfam family "Bacterial small subunit ribosomal RNA", at positions 104 to 334 of the family's 1533-position model. The record is from RNAcentral.
CGGGGUGGAGUAAUGUCUGGGAAACUGCCUGAUGGAGGGGGAUAACUACUGGAAACGGUAGCUAAUACCGCAUAACGUCGCAAGACCAAAGUGGGGGACCUUCGGGCCUCAUGCCAUCGGAUGUGCCCAGAUGGGAUUAGCUAGUAGGUGGGGUAACGGCUCACCUAGGCGACGAUCCCUAGCUGGUCUGAGAGGAUGACCAGCCACACUGGAACUGAGACACGGUCCAG